UAGCUAUUAAGUUGGUGCAAAACUAAUUGCAGUUUUUGUCAUUGUUUUUAAUGGCAAAAACUGCAAUUACUUUUGCACCAAAUAGAUA
MicroRNA precursor from Chlorocebus sabaeus (green monkey), 88 nucleotides. The record is from Ensembl. Lineage: Eukaryota; Metazoa; Chordata; Mammalia; Primates; Cercopithecidae.